This 881-nucleotide ribosomal RNA is filed under the name Bacillus inaquosorum. RNAcentral describes it as "bacterial SSU rRNA". It matches the Rfam family "Bacterial small subunit ribosomal RNA", at positions 61 to 918 of the family's 1533-position model. Lineage: Bacteria; Bacillati; Bacillota; Bacilli; Caryophanales; Bacillaceae. The record is from RNAcentral.
GUCGAGCGGACAGAUGGGAGCUUGCUCCCUGAUGUUAGCGGCGGACGGGUGAGUAACACGUGGGUAACCUGCCUGUAAGACUGGGAUAACUCCGGGAAACCGGGGCUAAUACCGGAUGGUUGUUUGAACCGCAUGGUUCAAACAUAAAAGGUGGCUUCGGCUACCACUUACAGAUGGACCCGCGGCGCAUUAGCUAGUUGGUGAGGUAACGGCUCACCAAGGCAACGAUGCGUAGCCGACCUGAGAGGGUGAUCGGCCACACUGGGACUGAGACACGGCCCAGACUCCUACGGGAGGCAGCAGUAGGGAAUCUUCCGCAAUGGACGAAAGUCUGACGGAGCAACGCCGCGUGAGUGAUGAAGGUUUUCGGAUCGUAAAGCUCUGUUGUUAGGGAAGAACAAGUACCGUUCGAAUAGGGCGGUACCUUGACGGUACCUAACCAGAAAGCCACGGCUAACUACGUGCCAGCAGCCGCGGUAAUACGUAGGUGGCAAGCGUUGUCCGGAAUUAUUGGGCGUAAAGGGCUCGCAGGCGGUUUCUUAAGUCUGAUGUGAAAGCCCCCGGCUCAACCGGGGAGGGUCAUUGGAAACUGGGGAACUUGAGUGCAGAAGAGGAGAGUGGAAUUCCACGUGUAGCGGUGAAAUGCGUAGAGAUGUGGAGGAACACCAGUGGCGAAGGCGACUCUCUGGUCUGUAACUGACGCUGAGGAGCGAAAGCGUGGGGAGCGAACAGGAUUAGAUACCCUGGUAGUCCACGCCGUAAACGAUGAGUGCUAAGUGUUAAGGGGGUUUCCGCCCNCUUAGUGCUGCAGCUAACGCAUUAAGCACUCCGCCUGGGGGAGUACGGGUCGCAAGACUGAAACUCCAAAGGAAUUGACGGGG